GGAGGCAGAACUCAGAUGAUAGAGUGUGAGCCUAACAUGCACACAGCCCUGGGUUCAACUCCCAGUUCCUCAC
RNAcentral lists this transfer RNA (73 nucleotides) under Cricetulus griseus (Chinese hamster). It matches the Rfam family "tRNA". From Rfam's summary of the family: Transfer RNA (tRNA) molecules are approximately 80 nucleotides in length. Their secondary structure includes four short double-helical elements and three loops (D, anti-codon, and T loops). Further hydrogen bonds mediate the characteristic L-shaped molecular structure. tRNAs have two regions of fundamental functional importance: the anti-codon, which is responsible for specific mRNA codon recognition, and the 3' end, to which the tRNAs corresponding amino acid is attached (by aminoacyl-tRNA synthetases). tRNAs cope with the degeneracy of the genetic code in two manners: having more than one tRNA (with a specific anti-codon) for a particular amino acid; and 'wobble' base-pairing, i.e. permitting non-standard base-pairing at the 3rd anti-codon position. The record is from Rfam by way of RNAcentral. Lineage: Eukaryota; Metazoa; Chordata; Mammalia; Rodentia; Cricetidae.